CACCGCGGUUAUACGAGAGACCCAAGUUGAUAGCCCCCGGCGUAAAGAGUGGUUAAGAAAAACUAGACACUAAAGCCGAAUGCCCUCAAAGCUGUUAUACGCACCCGAAGGCAAGAAGAACAAUCACGAAAGUGGCUUUAUUAAACCUGAACCCACGAAAGCUACGGUA
RNAcentral lists this ribosomal RNA (169 nucleotides) under Coreoperca whiteheadi. RNAcentral describes it as "partial 12S rRNA". The record is from RNAcentral. Lineage: Eukaryota; Metazoa; Chordata; Actinopteri; Centrarchiformes; Sinipercidae.